This is a non-coding RNA of Pelobates cultripes (western spadefoot toad), 483 nucleotides long. The record is from the annotation of a GenBank genome assembly. Lineage: Eukaryota; Metazoa; Chordata; Amphibia; Anura; Pelobatidae.
UGUGAGGUAGUUCCCAAUUCUUCUUGGCUGCUGUGUUAAGUAUGAAAUUGAUGUUCUUGUCAUGCUCGUAACAUGGAAAUCUACCAAGCAAGCUGCCUUGUUGUUAUACCGGAGACAGGGAAAGAAAGAGACAAUAGUGAAGGUUGAUAACCCAUCCAGACUGACUACUGAUGAAAUUCUGCUCCUUUUUUUCCAGUUAUUGUCAGGCACAUAGACGGGUGUAGGGUCAGGGAGUUUACUGGACUGGGAGACAUGGCCUAGGAAAUCCACUGCAAGCGCUGCCAUUCAUAUAACAUGGCUCAUGCAGUUUCAUUGUGUAUUCUUUGGGUUUCAAUGUUAAUUUUGUAACUACGGUGAGUUGACAAUUAACUUUCAAAAUCAAGGCCAAAAUUGCAAACUGUGUUAGAAAUCUCUAUUUUGGCAUACAUUUUGCAAGUUAUCUAUCAACUCUCUCAAUGUUUAGUAAAUAAUACAAUCUCACAC